UUCCUCUAACUCUACUAUGACGGCUUUACGCUUACCUGGGAAACUCACAGAAGUUAAGGGAGGGGCCAGCAACCUGCCCACCUGAUGAAUACAAAACAAAACCUUUUACCAACAGAGGAAAGAAGCCAUACAGGUUUAUAAGAACAUGAGAUGAGCCGAGCACGCGGGUGCACAGAACACUCCCUGAAGCGGUAAUGUCUCAACGUUCCGCUUGCAUGGCUGCUCCGAGCUCUACUGUACAUGCUCGGUGGCCUGAGGAGAACAGAAGAAGCAGUGUGUGAGCCAUGGAACGUGGGCUGAAGACACACCCGGAUGAGUGCGAGAAUGGGAUUUAACCAUGUGAUGACUGUAUGUGUGUGUGUGUGUGUG
Molecule: long non-coding RNA, 369 nt
Organism: Triplophysa rosa
Lineage: Eukaryota; Metazoa; Chordata; Actinopteri; Cypriniformes; Nemacheilidae
Exons: 3
Source: RefSeq, a predicted model, not a curated record